This 210-nucleotide ribosomal RNA is filed under the name uncultured prokaryote. RNAcentral describes it as "partial 16S ribosomal RNA". It matches the Rfam family "Bacterial small subunit ribosomal RNA", at positions 524 to 733 of the family's 1533-position model. The record is from RNAcentral.
UACGGGGGGGGCAAGCGUUGUUCGGAAUUACUGGGCGUAAAGGGCGCGUAGGCGGCCUAAUAAGUCACUUGUGAAAUCUCCGGGCUUAACUCGGAAUGGCCAAGUGAAACUGUCAGGCUAGAGUGCAGAAGGGGCAAUCGGAAUUCUUGGUGUAGCGGUGAAAUGCGUAGAUAUCAAGAGGAACACCUGAGGUGAAGACGGGUUGCUGGG